Passer domesticus (house sparrow) is the source of this 7518-nucleotide long non-coding RNA. RefSeq lists it as uncharacterized. Lineage: Eukaryota; Metazoa; Chordata; Aves; Passeriformes; Passeridae. The record is from RefSeq and is a predicted model, not a curated record. The transcript has 4 exons.
GAGGCGGCAUCCCAGUGCGGGACCGCGCCCUCGCCUCUGCUUUGCCUUCCGGGCAGUGAGGGACGAUCCACGCUAGGCCCCUCCCGCGGCCGAGCGUGCAAACCAGUCGUGUGGGUGGAACUGUGUGGUUUUAAGCGCGGGGCCCUGCGCGGCCGGUAACCACAACCCCUGCAGUGACCGGGGAUACCGAGUAUAAAGGCCUGAUGCCGUGUGAGCGGUGACAAAAUGGCCCCCGCAGCCGCUCUGUGACAGACACACUGUGCGUGUCAGCCGGUGGCGCUGGCUGCCCUGGCGACAUCACAGCUCCCAUGGUGAGCGUGGGGCAGCAGUGAGCUUGCACAGCUCCUUUUGAUACAGCUCCGAACUGGCAGCAAGUGGCUUUGCUGUUUCCCAGUCGUCCUAAACAAAUAAGUGUGCUGUGAUUUGUAUCCUGUAUCAAAGUCCUGUGCCUGUUUUUGGUAACUGCUGGGCAGGUGCUGCUGGCCUCUGUCGCAGUGAGGUGCAGGGUCCCCCAGCCUGCUGAUCUGCCAGGGCUGUGCUUACCAAAGCAGAAUUAUGGGGAAGAUUGCUGUAGUUCCAGUGGAGUGUGUGCUCACAGCACCCUAUGAACAAAGCUUUUAGAGGCAAUAACUCCAGAGCAGGUUAAAUGUUCUGCUAUUACAGAAUUGGAAUAAUUUACUUGCAAUGACUGGAUCUACAAAUAGUUAUGCCUGGAGAUCCAGUGACAGCUGAAGAGUACCUGACACAAGCUGGCAGGUGGUACAGUGUAAGAUUUGCAUAAAGCUGAUUUCUCCAUUUCUCCCAUCUUCAUCUGCUGACAUUCAGAUGCUGAGUCAAGAUGCUCUAAAUACCUUAAAGCUGUUACAAAACCAGAGAGAAGAUAAACUUCAGGAGGAAUUUCAAAACGAAAAAAAAAUUCAAGUGGUGUUUGAGGGCCUAUUAUAGUUAAGAGCAAUCGUAAAUCUUGGCAUCAGUCUCACAGCAGAAUAAAAAGUCAGAUCAGCAGGAAGCUUCCACAUAAGAGCAACAGGCAGCCCCAGGAGAAGGAAAAGAAAUACAAGAAAAAAAUCUUUUCAAACUCUUCCAUUUAUUUUCUUUCAAAAAUCAAAGGGUUCUACUCAUUAGAAACCCUCAGGUUUUCUUGUAUUUUUAAAGAUAAUAUGCCUUCAAAGAAUGACAACUCAUUAUUCAGCCAGCCUUUCAAAGUCUUUUAUUUCAAAGCUUCUUUCUGAAUAAACAAAUCUAUAAAGAGAACAAAUGGAAGUUUCUGCUUUUCCUAUGUUUUACAUAGAGGCUACACAAGCUGUCUUCUCUCAAAAUGAGUCAGACCUGAAAUUACAAAGUAACCAAAAUUGUUGGAUGUAGCUGGUGGAAUUAAUUUAAUGUAUUCUAUCUACAGAUUGGCUCUAAAGCCACAAAAAUAUUUUUAAUUGAAAUUCAAAAUUUUAGAUCAAAACCCCAAGGUAUUUUUUAUUAUGGUUAUUGUUUGCUUAGGGAUGUUUAAAUGUUUAGAGAUAGGCAAAGGAACACUAAGUAUAAUAAAAAUUACUAUCAUAAACAUGGUGACAACAUAAUAAAACUGGCAGUAGGGUUUGCAAUAUAAUUUAAAUUUGUACUUAUUGGGCUGAUGUACAAAAUUUGUACUUACUGGGCUGAUGUCUUUGUAAGCAUUUAUUACAUUCCACAAGAGCUUACUUCAGAUUGAAUCAGUCCUUUAAGGCAUGAGGAGGAGCUGUCCUACUAAGACUGAAGUGAACUACCCUCCCCAGGAUGAGAGAUUGAUUAGGUUUUAAACCAGAAAAAAAUAUACUGAGAAAUAUAAAGAUUUUUUUGCUAGAGCAGAGAUUCAGGGAAUACAAAGAUAGGAGUAAAAUGUUCACAGAAGAACAGGAGAAAGGCGUUUGGAAUAAGAAGGAAAUGUUAAUUAGUGAAUGGAGCACAUGUACCUCAGUGGCUUGGAAAGCAUAAUGUUAGAAAGUGAAAAAUAAUACAGGUUGUAGGAAAAUGUGCAGAAAUGUCUGAACUCUCACAGGAUUGUAGUUACCUCUUCACUUAGGAAGACCAAGGCAUUGCUGUGACGAGCUCAAACCGUGUGUAGAUUCCUUGAUAGAGUUUCCUAUAGUUAGUACCUGAAUAACCAUUGAAAAUAAGAAAAGAGGUUCAAACAGAGUACACAAGACUCCAUGAUGGCUGAUGUAGGCUUACAAAGGAAGAAAUCAAAAGAAGCACUCCAUGUGAUUCUGUGCCAGAAUAUUUGACUUCAUAUUGAAAGCAGGUACAAAUGGAGUACAAGUGCAGUCAGAGACUGGAGUAACAGUGAACUUUCCUGUCCCUGAAGUCAGCUAAAAACUCUGGAAGCAAUUCUUACUUAAAGAUACCUUUUUUUCAAAGUGAGGUAACUCUGUGGAGGGGUUUUGAACAACUAUUGUAUGUGGGAAUUGCUGACUGCAUGUAUUGCCUGUGAAUUUUCUUGCAUUUAUUUGAGCAGAGGAGAGCAGUGCUUAGGUCUAUAUGCAAACUUGUUUACUCAAAUAGUGCUUGUGCUUAUACAGUUGCUUGUCUCAUGGAUAAAUUCUUCCCAGGCUUUUGCAGUGCCAUCAUUAGGUUUCUGCUUCUUGGUAGCAGAGAAGAGUUCAUCCAAAUCCAUGUAUAACAAAUCGUGCCUUCUUUUCAGAGCUGCAGUCUUUUUUCCCAGCUGCAUAAUUGUCAGUACAGACCAAAGAGCUAGGAAAACUUCUACUGCAGCAUUUUGAGAUCUGCCACAGUUGUGUUUUGCUAGGCUCUUGUAACUUCUGCUUACAGUAUGGAAUAAAGUGAGGACAAGAUUUAUCCGAUUUAUCUGAUUUCAGAUUUAUCGCUGCAGAUUUUUAAAAAAGCAUACUUUUCUACAUGGAAAUGCAUGUUUCGUACUGCUGCUCUUGUUAGGAAUGGAGACCUGUGAAAUGAUGGCAUCAUUCAGUAGAAUUGGAAAUGCAGAAGAAAAAGGUGCUUUAUUGUUGUUGAGUAACUGUCUGGCAAAUAUCUUUGUUCACUCCAUGCACCUCAUCCAUUGUUUAUCUGUUAUAACUAAAAUAUAAUUUUAAGGCUUUUAAAGCAAAGUACUUCCAUAAAAUAACAUGAAGAGAACAAGUAGUUAUAAAUGGGGAAGCCGCUGUUUGUCUACAGCAAAUACUUCAUGAAGACUGAUCUACCCAGUUCACAGUACAGGCUGAACAUGCAAGGUUGCUGGCAGGAUGCAAUGAGGAAUGGCUGGCAGCAGGGCAGGCACCAAUUGCAGGAAAGGGCAAGCAGGUUCAGCUGCUGAAGCAGGUUGACAGUUAUGCUGGAAAGUCAAUCCACAGGUCAUGCCAGUAUCCACAGUAGGUCAGGUCCAGCCAGUAUCCACACCUGUAGGUCAGGUCCAACCUGACCUACUGAGGUCGGAGUCCUGUGGUCACUAGGCAGGUGCAGGGAGAUGGGACCAGGCAGAAAUCAGACCAGGAAAUCAGGUCCAAGGGAUGCAGGCAAGCACUGGAACACCCAGAUGGAGCAGGAUUAAAGGCCCUGGACUCAUGAGCAGGAGUGUGGGGGUUGAGGCUCCCAGGUGAGGCUGGUAAGGCCCACUAAGACUUAUUGUAUUCAGGGUCGUUAUUAUCCAUUGUCAGGCUUGCAUUGAAACAAAUUAAAAUAAUAACAGAGGCUGUGCCUUACUGAACUUUGGUUCAAAUUCCUCAUUACAAAUGCAGUAAUCACAGCAAUGAACAGUCAUGUAAAUUUUCUUGUACUUUUAAUCUCCGUCUCUACAACCGAUCAGAAACAGGAACCAGACAAUAUUAGUGCUCCCUUUGCCACAGUAAUAUAUGAGCUAUUCCUUAACUGCAACAGCAAUUAUGUUUUUAACAAAAAUGUCAAGCAUUCAAGCUGCAUUGCUAGGGUAUUUUAAACUAGUAUUUCUUCUAGGUCUAGUAGUCAUAACAAUAAUGAGAGCAAUGUCCUGGAGAAUCAGAAUUACACGAAUUUUGCCACUUUAUUGACCUAAACACGAAUAGCAAGCUUUGUGAAAAACCACAGUGCCUUGUCCACAUCAGUACUAGUUAGCCAUAGGAGACACAAUAACUUCCAGUGUGGACUGAGAGAAUGGGUCAGCAAGUAAGAUCAAGCAAUAGCACUAGCAUACCAUGUAAAAAUAGCUUUAGUAGCACUGAAACUAAUCUGUUCAGUGGAAUCGAUCAGAAAACAUCAUCAGGAAACAAGCUGGUAUCCACAGAGAGAUUAAAUUAAGAACAGAAGCUGUUAGCAUGUAUCUGAUGGCAGCAUGUACUUUUUUGUUAUUUGAAAUUGGCGCUCAUGUUUACUUUUUCAGGAUCAGUUUUUUUUUUUCUUUAGACUUCAAGGUAAAAUGGUAAAAGUACUGGAAGUUCCUGUUCUUUUCCUAUUUCUUGCUACUUUCAGAUCUUGUAUAUGAGCUUAUCCCUAAACUUUCAUGCUUUUCUGAUCUUGUUAUUGUGUCUUUUAACUAAGCUUGGAUUUGCACAAAAGUUACAAACAGAAGUUUAAGAGCUCGGAGGUGGAACACAAUAAAGAACAAUUUCCAGCACCAGAGGUGAAGAAAUACUGUAUUCUGAGUGGGCCCUUGAAAAGAGAAGUGAAUACAUAAACUCUGACAUGACUGUGUGUUUUUUGACUACUAACCUUGUGCUUUUCCUUUUGAGGCAGGUGACUCAUCAUGCUGUAUCACCUAAAAGUAAGGCAGUCUAGCAUCUGCCAAAGGCCGUUUUGGUAGUGCUUGCCACCUAGUGGAUUACUGCUUAUAUACACAUAUGAGCAGGAUCAUCUGCCACAAAAAUAAACCAUCGCACUAUUAAUCAGACUAAUAUUUGGUUACAUCCUGCAGAAUUUGAGUACUACUUAAUGGAUUUUUAAAUUUUGUUGGAAUUAAAAGCCUGUGAAAAUUGAACUACAAAUUGCAAACAUUUUCAAAACUUUUAUAUGACAACUGUAUUUGCAACUGUGACAUGACUUGGUGACCAGAAAAAUAUGAAAUUUGAGAGCCAGUAGUAAGUGAGUAGUCAGUGUAAGUGGCCAUGGACUCAGCUGUAAACUCAAGCCCCAUGCUAACAUUUGUUGGCUGAGGCUCUGAUGAGUGCAUUUGGUGAACAUAACUGAGCUUGUUGAAAUCUAUACCCAUUGUUUCUGCUUCUUCUGUAAGAGUUUUCUGGAGCCCUGUCAUUUUUUUAGGUUUCUGGUUUGUAUAUAAUAGUAACUCAACAUUACCUCUUCUCUUCUCUUAGCUGAAUUGCCUGGAAUAGUUGUUAUCCAUUUUGUUGACCUGGACUUGAAUUUCUACCUGACUAAUAGUUUACCCCUCAUUACUGCCCACUAGUCUUACAGAGAUCACAAGUGUUGCUCAUACAUAACACAAUGCAAAGAUCUGUAUUGUAAGUUACAAGGGUUCCAUCGACUACUUAAAAAAAACCAGUUUUUCCACACAAAUGACUCCUGUAAAAAUUUGAGUCCCCUCUUUCAAUUUUAAAUGCAAUUGAGCUUUUACUGCAUUUUUUAUUAAUCACCAUAUUUUAAAAACAUGGACUGUUUAACCAGAAUUUUCCCCAACACAUCCAGCCCACAGGCAACAGUUAAGGGAAGUUCUCAGCAACAGGGAAUUGUCAGGUUUGAAUACAACAGGUUUUCUGCGACGUUGAUGUUUGUAAUAGUAUUUUUUAUUAUUCCAUGAUGAUGAAAAUGUUGGAAAAUUUUAGCCAACAGCUUAUGGUAUUCACAAAUCAUUUAUGCUCUACACUUUCAGGAUAAUUUCCAAUUAAACUUAUUAAAUUCAAGAAUACCUUAAUUCUUAGUUGUUACCAAUACGUUCAUACAGAUGAUUUUACUUUUAUAGCAUUUUAUGAUCAUUAACCUAUUUAUGACUAACUUGAUAUGCGGAUGUUGAAUUGGGUAAGAUUCCAUGGGGUCUGUGCUUAGUGUGGCUGUUACUUAUCUAAGGGUAUUUCAGUCUUACAGUGCAUAAUGCAUACCAUUAUGUAUCAGAAUUCUUGAUCUUCCCAUAUUUGCGAUCGCAUUCUCAUGAUAAGAUAGUUUUGGUUUGUUUUUUACUUCCCUCUAACUGCUGUGAGGAACUUCUGUUACGAUCAGAAGAUGAAAUACGAAUUGUUUAUACAGUGAAUUUUUUCACUUUCUGUUAAAUACUAUGUUCCUAAGACUACAGAGUACAUAAAUUUCUUCAUAAAGAUCAUCAUAAAUAGUUGAAAUUAAGACAUGUGUAAGAAACUUUGUACAACUCUCCUCCUGUUUUUAAAAAGUAAUUUACAAAUAAUUUGAUCUUUAUCCAAAUUUAGAAAGUUAUAUGACCAUAAUAAAAAUCUGUACUCAGUACUCAAUAUAGUACCAUAAUAAAAAUCUGUACUCUGUACUCAAUAUAGUACCGCAAUAAAAAUCUGUACUCAGUAGUAUCACAAGCUCAAAAAAUCACUUUUAUUAGUACAUAAAAAAAAGAAUAACAAAAAGAGACAUUAUAAUUAAAUAUUUGCUCUCAUCUACAAAUAAGCACUUUGGAUAAUAAAAUAAAUUUUUAGGUUCUUGUGAACAGUUAGAAACAGAGGAAGGAAUUUUCUGAAAUAAAAGCAAUAGAAAGAGACUUCUGAAAUAGAAAAUAUUUGGCAAUAUCUCUUAGUCACUCAAUAAAAUAUCCAUGUAAACAAGUAAUACAUAUUUACAUUAUCAUAUGCAAUAUCCUUGGUUACAUGUAGUAAGAAGUACACAUGUAAUUACAUUCAAUUUAUAAUCUAAUUUGCACCAUCAUUUCUCAGUUCCUUAAUGUUGGAAAAAACACUCUUCUGCUUCUGUGUAUAGUACUGCAUGACAGCAUGUAAAUAUAGUAUUUUUUUCCCAGGCAUCUUAAGAUAGCCCUUGUUUGUUAGGUUUUGUAAGUUCCUGGUUUUUAUAGGAAUCCAAACCUGGAAUGUAAGCCCUACAGUCAUGUUCCUGUAAAAACAACGAUGUAUAUGAUUUCCAAAGAUGCCUAAAAAUACCCAUGAAAAAGCUAGAGUUCUACCUUCCAUUUGUAUCUCUGAAAAUAUACUUUUUUCAUUUCCUAUGUUACUACUGUAUUUAUGUUACUCAUAAAUACAGGUAAGAAAAUUUGCAUAAAAGGAAAGUUAAUGGAAGGCUACUUUGAGGAGCAUGUUUAGACUCUACAAAUACCUAUUAAUUUUUAUUUAGCGUUGAACUAACCUCAUUUUUUUUUGCAAGGAUACAUAGAGGCCUUUUUAAUCAAUUUAAAAUUAAGCCAAAAGUCUAUAGUAUGUUUUAUCAGUUUUAAAUUGCACACACCAAGGUCGAUCAAGGUUUAGGAGAUCACAGCUACUGUAUCUUAUGGGGACCUUCCAAAGAUCAGAAGCCAGAAUCCCACAGUUCAUGCACGUGAGAUAUCAAUUAGCACUGAUUAACAAUUCCCCAGACGGAAUCUUCCAGCUUCCGCUGAGUUUCUACUAUCAUAUUUAACCUCUAAGUUGAAAACCAAAA